GCGUCCCACCAUGAGGACGAGCGGCAGACCGCUCAGUAACACGUAGCUAACCUACCCUCAGGACGUGGAUACCCCCGGGAAACUGGGGUUAAUCCGCGAUAGGUGUGGAGGCCUGGAAUGGUUCCACGCCCAAAGGCACAGCGAUCAUGUUUGUUGUGUGCCUGAGGAUGGGGCUGCGGCCGAUCAGGCAGUUGGCGAGGUAACGGCUCACCAAACCUUUGACCGGUACGGGCCAUGAAAGUGGUAGCCCGGAGAUGGGCACUGAGACAGGGGCCCAGGCCCUACGGGGCGCAGCAGGCGCGAAACCUCCACAAUGUACGUAAGUACGAUGGGGUUAUCUCGAGUGCAGUCCGAUAAGGGUUGCUUUUCCAUAGAGUAAUAUCCUGUGGGAAUAAGAGGGGGGCAAGACUGGUGUCAGCCGCCGCGGUAACACCAGCCCCUCGAGUGGUGGGGACUAUUAUUUGGCCUAAAGCGUCCGUAGCUGGCUGUAUCCGUCCCCCGUUAAAUCCAGCGUCCUAAGCGUUGGACCGCGGGUGAUACCAUACAGCUAGAGGGUGGGAUAGGUGAGCGGUAUUUNUGGGGUAGGGGCGAAAUCCAUUGAUCCCAGGAGGACCACCAGUGGCGAAGGCUGCUUACUAGAACACGCCUGACGGUCAGGGACGAAAGCUGGGGCAGCGAACCGGAUUAGAUACCCGUGUAGUCCCAGCUGUAAACGAUGCUAGCUAGGUGUUGGGUCGGCCACGCGCCGCCCCAGUGCCGCAGGGAAGCCGUUAAGCUAGCCGCCUGGGGAGUACGGCCGCAAGGCUGAAACUUAAAGGAAUUGGCGGGGGAGCACCACCAGGCGUGAAGCCUGCGGUUUAAUUGGAUUCAACGCCGGGA
RNAcentral lists this ribosomal RNA (879 nucleotides) under uncultured archaeon. RNAcentral describes it as "bacterial SSU rRNA". It matches the Rfam family "Archaeal small subunit ribosomal RNA", at positions 62 to 923 of the family's 1478-position model. The record is from RNAcentral.